RNAcentral lists this ribosomal RNA (325 nucleotides) under Staphylococcus haemolyticus. RNAcentral describes it as "partial 23S ribosomal RNA". It matches the Rfam family "Bacterial large subunit ribosomal RNA", at positions 1459 to 1782 of the family's 2925-position model. The record is from RNAcentral. Lineage: Bacteria; Bacillati; Bacillota; Bacilli; Caryophanales; Staphylococcaceae.
AAUCGAUGGGGGGACGCAGUAGGAUAGGCGAAGCGUACGAUUGGAUUGUACGUCUAAGCAGUGAGAUUGAGUGUUAGGCAAAUCCGGCACUCUUAAGAUUGAGCUGUGAUGGGGAGAGGAAAUUGUUUCCUCGAGUCGUUGAUUUCACACUGCCGAGAAAAGUCUCUAGAUAGAUAAUAGGUGCCCGUACCGCAAACCGACACAGGUAGUCAAGAUGAGAAUUCUAAGGUGAGCGAGCGAACUCUCGUUAAGGAACUCGGCAAAAUGACCCCGUAACUUCGGGAGAAGGGGUGCUCUUUAGGGUGCAAGCCCAGAAGAGCCGCAG